UCGCGGCUUAUCACCGGCAGUCCCCUUAGAGUGCCCAACUAAAUGAUGGCAACUAAGGGCGAGGGUUGCGUUCGUUGCGGGACUUAACCCAACAUCUCACGACACGAGCUGACGACAGCCAUGCAGCAUCUGUGCCCCACCCUCGAAGGCGACCGCCUUUCAGCGGCGUGCAGGGGCAUGUCAAACCUGGGUAAGGUUCUGCGCGUUGCGUCGAAUUAAACCACACGCUCCGCUGCUUGUGCGGGCCCCCGUCAAUUCCUUUGAGUUUAAGCCUUGCGGCCGUACUCCCCAGGCGGUCAACUUCACGCGUUAGCUUCGUUACCAAGGAAUUACUUCCCCGACAACCAGUUGACAUCGUUUAGGGCGUGGACUAC
This 374-nucleotide unclassified non-coding RNA is filed under the name uncultured bacterium. Its description in RNAcentral is "contains 16S-23S intergenic spacer region". The record is from RNAcentral.